This is a long non-coding RNA of Amphiprion ocellaris (clown anemonefish), 358 nucleotides long. Lineage: Eukaryota; Metazoa; Chordata; Actinopteri; Pomacentridae. The record is from Ensembl.
CAAAGGGUAGAAAGGAUAAUUACACAGCGCAACAGAGUACAGCGGUAGGCCCUCUUGGCUCCAGUUCCAACUCCAGUCUGCCUCAGCCCUGCGCAGUCAACCGUCAGCAGCGCCACUGGGUGCAGGGAUAUCCCGAUGAAAAGGGAGACUGUUCGGGGUGAAGAAUUCAGGCAAGAUUUAACUACACUCAUCCGUCAUGAAGUGAAGCGGUUGACUAAUUAACCAUCACUCUGAGACAAAAGCUUUAUUAGAUAGGCGCAGUGAGAGAGAGACAGGAAACAGGGAAGAAGAGUCGGGGGAAGACAUGCAGCAAAGGGCCGCGAGCGGGAAUCGAACCCGGGCCAGCUGCAUCGGGGAC